This 484-nucleotide ribosomal RNA is filed under the name uncultured bacterium. RNAcentral describes it as "partial 16S ribosomal RNA". It matches the Rfam family "Bacterial small subunit ribosomal RNA", at positions 30 to 507 of the family's 1533-position model. The record is from RNAcentral.
AUUGAACGCUGGCGGCAGGCCUAACACAUGCAAGUCGAGCGGAUGAAGGGAGCUUGCUCCUGGAUUCAGCGGCGGACGAGUGAGUAAUGCCUAGGAAUCUGCCUGGUAGUGGGGGAUAACGUCCGGAAACGGGCGCUAAUACCGCAUACGUCCUGAGGGAGAAAGUGGGGGAUCUUCGGACCUCACGCUAUCAGAUGAGCCUAGGUCGGAUUAGCUAGUUGGUGGGGUAAAGGCCUACCAAGGCGACGAUCUGUAACUGGUCUGAGAGGAUGAUCAGUCACACUGGAACUGAGACACGGUCCAGACUCCUACGGGAGGCAGCAGUGGGGAAUAUUGGACAAUGGGCGAAAGCCUGAUCCAGCCAUGCCGCGUGUGUGAAGAAGGUCUUCGGAUUGUAAAGCACUUUAAGUUGGGAGGAAGGGCAGUAAGUUAAUACCUUGCUGUUUUGACGUUACCAACAGAAUAAGCACCGGCUAACUUCGUG